RNAcentral lists this ribosomal RNA (505 nucleotides) under uncultured bacterium. RNAcentral's name for it is "partial 16S ribosomal RNA". It matches the Rfam family "Bacterial small subunit ribosomal RNA", at positions 28 to 507 of the family's 1533-position model. The record is from RNAcentral.
GACGAACGCUGGCGGCGUGCCUAAUACAUGCAAGUAGAACGCACAGUUUAUACCGUAGCUUGCUACACCAUAGACUGUGAGUUGCGAACGGGUGAGUAACGCGUAGGUAACCUGCCUGGUAGCGGGGGAUAACUAUUGGAAACGAUAGCUAAUACCGCAUAAUAUUGAUUAUUGCAUGAUAAUUAAUUGAAAGGUGCAAUUGCACCACUACCAGAUGGACCUGCGUUGUAUUAGCUAGUAGGUGAGGUAACGGCUCACCUAGGCGACGAUACAUAGCCGACCUGGGAAGGUGAUCGGCCACACUGGGACUGAGACACGGCCCAGACUCCUACGGGAGGCAGCAGUAGGGAAUCUUCGGCAAUGGACGAAAGUCUGACCGAGCAACGCCGCGUGAGUGAAGAAGGUUUUCGGAUCGUAAAGCUCUGUUGUAAGAGAAGAACGGGUGUGAGAGUGGAAAGUUCACACUGUGACGGUAGCUUACCAGAAAGGGACGGCUAACUACGUG